CGAAGGGGCUAGCGUUGUUCGGAAUUACUGGGCGUAAAGCGCGCGUAGGCGGAUUUGCCAGUCAGGGGUGAAAUGCCAGGGCUUAACCUUGGAACUGCCUUUGAUACUGCAAGUCUGGAGUACGGGAGAGGUGAGUGGAAUUCCGAGUGUAGAGGUGAAAUUCGUAGAUAUUCGGAGGAACACCAGAAGCGAAGGCGGCUCACUGGCCCGAUACUGACGCUGAGGCGCGAAAGCGUGGGGAGACAAACAGGAUU
This 254-nucleotide ribosomal RNA is filed under the name uncultured bacterium. RNAcentral's name for it is "partial 16S ribosomal RNA". It matches the Rfam family "Bacterial small subunit ribosomal RNA", at positions 527 to 779 of the family's 1533-position model. The record is from RNAcentral.